UACCCCCAGGGGAAGUCGAAUCCCCGCUGCCUCCUUGAAAGAGAGAUGUCCUGAACCACUAGGCGAUAGGGGC
Molecule: transfer RNA, 73 nt
Filed under: Calamus ursinus
Lineage: Eukaryota; Viridiplantae; Streptophyta; Magnoliopsida; Arecales; Arecaceae
Description: tRNA-Glu
Source: RNAcentral